RNAcentral lists this ribosomal RNA (548 nucleotides) under uncultured bacterium. RNAcentral describes it as "bacterial SSU rRNA". It matches the Rfam family "Bacterial small subunit ribosomal RNA", at positions 355 to 895 of the family's 1533-position model. The record is from RNAcentral.
UGGGGAAUAUUGGACAAUGGGCGAAAGCCUGAUCCAGCCAUGCCGCGUGUGUGAAGAAGGCCUUAUAGUUGUAAAGCACUUUAAGUGGGGAGGAAAAGCUUAUGGAUAAUACCCAUAGGUUCUGACGUUACCCACAGAAUAAGCACCGGCUAACUCUGUGCCAGCAGCCGCGGUAAUACAGAGGGUGCGAGCGUUAAUCGGAAUUACUGGGCGUAAAGCGAGCGUAGGUGGUUUAUUAAGUCAGAUGUGAAAUCCCUGGGCUUAACCUAGGAACUGCAUCUGAUACUGAUAAACUAGAGUAGGUGAGAGGAAAGUAGAAUUCCAGGUGUAGCGGUGAAAUGCGUAGAUAUCUGGAGGAAUACCGAUGGCGAAGGCAGCUUUCUGGCAUCAUACUGACACUGAGGUUCGAAAGCGUGGGUAGCAAACAGGAUUAGAUACCCUGGUAGUCCACGCCGUAAACGAUGUCUACCAGUCGUUGGGUCUUUUAAAGGCUUAGUGACGCAGUUAACGCGAUAAGUAGACCGCCUGGGGAGUACGGCCGCAAGGUU